This 869-nucleotide ribosomal RNA is filed under the name uncultured anaerobic bacterium. RNAcentral's name for it is "bacterial SSU rRNA". It matches the Rfam family "Bacterial small subunit ribosomal RNA", at positions 29 to 896 of the family's 1533-position model. The record is from RNAcentral.
AUGAACGCUAGCGGCAGGCUUAAUACAUGCAAGUCGAACGGGAUUCGUUGUAGCAAUACGAUGAUGAGAGUGGCGCACGGGUGCGUAACGCGUAUGCAACCUACCUUUAACAGGUGAAUAGCCCCGAGAAAUCGGGAUUAAUACACCGUAACAUUGCGAAGUGGCAUCACUAUGCAAUUAAAGAUUUAUCGGUUAAAGAUGGGCAUGCGUGACAUUAGCUAGUUGGUGAGGUAACGGCUCACCAAGGCAACGAUGUCUAGGGGUCCUGAGAGGGUUAUCCCCCACACUGGUACUGAGACACGGACCAGACUCCUACGGGAGGCAGCAGUAAGGAAUAUUGGUCAAUGGGCGCAAGCCUGAACCAGCCAUGCCGCGUGCAGGAAGACGGCCCUAUGGGUUGUAAACUGCUUUUGUCAGGGAAUAAACCUAUCUACGCGUAGAUAGCUGAAGGUACCUGAAGAAUAAGCAUCGGCUAACUCCGUGCCAGCAGCCGCGGUAAUACGGAGGAUGCAAGCGUUAUCCGGAUUCAUUGGGUUUAAAGGGUGCGCAGGCGGGUUAUUAAGUCAGAGGUGAAAUCCCACAGCUCAACUGUGGAACUGCCUUUGAUACUGAUAGUCUAGAGUAUAAUUGAAGCUGGCGGAAUGUGCCAUGUAGCGGUGAAAUGCUUAGAUAUGACACAGAACACCGAUCGCGAAGGCAGCUAGCUAAGCUAUAACUGACGCUCAUGCACGAAAGCGUGGGGAUCAAACAGGAUUAGAUACCCUGGUAGUCCACGCUGUAAACGAUGAUUACUCGAUGUUGGCGAUACACAGUCAGCGUCUAAGGGAAACCAAUAAGUAAUCCACCUGGGGAGUACGAUCGCAAGAUUG